AGUUUCUCAUGAUCCUCGUCACCUCCCAGGCUAACCUGCUCAUUCGUCUUGUCUCAGAUCUGUGCUCUUCUAUGUGAAGGGAAUUCUGGGUGAAGAAAUUCCCUCUGUCAAUGCAGAUCUGCAACUCAUCUUCAAUUUGUAGUCUUAUAAGGAUGAACAACAACACAAGACCAGUUAUAACUUCAGAAGAUUUAUAAUAAAUCAGCUCUUCACCCUUGGCUGAAAGAGUCAUCAGAGGUCCAGUGGCAAGACAAAAAUCAGGAUGACUGGGGAUGGACAGGGAUGCUGUGGAUGAAGUUGGUGUCUUUGAUGUCUGACCAAGCUCUAAGUGCUCCAUGGUGCCUCCCUCAAUCACCUUCACAGUUGUUGGAGCAAAUUGUUCUCAUCUACCAGUUACACUGGGGGAAGUCUUCUCAUGCUUGGGGUAGACAUCCCCCUAAACCACUGAGGGGUUUAAGGUCUGUCAGUUGCUCUCAACCUGGUUUAGCCAGUCUGCCGAGAAGGCUUACUGGGGUGUGGCUGCUGUGCAU
Molecule: long non-coding RNA, 530 nt
Organism: Vombatus ursinus (common wombat)
Lineage: Eukaryota; Metazoa; Chordata; Mammalia; Diprotodontia; Vombatidae
Exons: 3
Source: RefSeq, a predicted model, not a curated record